CAAUAGCGUAUAUUAAAGUUGUUGCAGUUAAAAAGCUCGUAGUUGGAUUUCGGGGUGGCCUGGCUGGUCCGCCGCAAGGUGAGUACUGGUCAACCGCCCUUCCUCUCGAAAGCCCCGACUGCUCUUUACUGCAGUGGUCGGGUAGUUCGGGACGUUUACUUUGAAAAAAUUAGAGUGUUCAAGGCAGGCUAUCGCCUGAAUACAUUAGCAUGGAAUAAUGGAAGAGGACCUCGGUCCUAUUUUGUUGGUUUCUAGGGCCGAAGUAAUGAUUAAGAGGGACAGUUGGGGGCAUUCGUAUUUAAUUGUCAGAGGUGAAAUUCUUGGAUUUAUGAAAGACGAACUAGUGCGAAAGCAUUUGCCAAGGAUGUUUUCAUUAA
Molecule: ribosomal RNA, 377 nt
Filed under: uncultured eukaryote
Lineage: Eukaryota
Description: partial 18S ribosomal RNA
Rfam family: Eukaryotic small subunit ribosomal RNA
Source: RNAcentral